RNAcentral lists this non-coding RNA (28 nucleotides) under Cricetulus griseus (Chinese hamster). The record is from RNAcentral. Lineage: Eukaryota; Metazoa; Chordata; Mammalia; Rodentia; Cricetidae.
GCUCUCCGCCUGAAUAAAAUGAUGUAGA